Molecule: small nuclear RNA, 159 nt
Filed under: Fukomys damarensis (Damara mole-rat)
Lineage: Eukaryota; Metazoa; Chordata; Mammalia; Rodentia; Bathyergidae
Description: U4 spliceosomal RNA (ENSFDAG00000003246.1)
Source: RNAcentral
AGCUUUGCAUAGUUACAGUAUCAUAGCCAGUGAAUUUAUCCCAAGCGCGAUUAUUGCUAAUUGAAAACUUUUCCCAGGCUCAGGACCUUGUGCUUGUGAGAUAUGUGUGGUGCCACUGAGCUAAAUCCCUGGCCCAAGUAUUUUUGUUUUUUUAGAAAA